This 806-nucleotide long non-coding RNA is filed under the name Nicotiana benthamiana. Its description in RNAcentral is "long non-coding RNA (NBEN_LNC016148)". The record is from RNAcentral. Lineage: Eukaryota; Viridiplantae; Streptophyta; Magnoliopsida; Solanales; Solanaceae.
UCUAGCCUUAAGCCACUAAAUACGCUAAUUAGUUAUACUAUUUUUUUCUCUCUCUACUUUGAUACAUCUCAUUCUCUUCACAUAUCUCAUUAAAAUUUCUAAUCUCCUCCUCUUUUCACCGAAUUUAUGCAAAGUAUAAAAUAUUCAAAAGGUAACCAAACACUUUAUUGGUGAUAUUAUGUGCAAAGUAUGAAAGAUUCCAAACUGUUUGGAUCUAUGUCUUUUAUGAAUUUGCGCCGAUAAAGGUUCGUGUUGAGGAGAAUCAAAGGGGUGAAAAUUUUUAGGAGCAAUUUUCACAGAUGACUCUUGGGGUGGUGAAGCAAAAGCAUGAGGAUGGAGGAUUUGUGGAUUUAUCUUCGCCGCCUGUGAUAGUUGAUUUCGUGCCGACGACAGCUAUUUUCGGCAUGCAACAGCAACAGCUACAACCACAUCCGUAAUUGCAACCAAAACUUGUUAUUCCAUCUGAUUUGCCUUCCCCUAAUUCAGUUUCAAAUCAACUUCAUCAAUCCAGAGUAAUUUCUUCUGACAUCCAUACCACAACUUUAUCUUUCGCAAUGAAGAAGAAAUUUUUUUAAAAUAUAUUUCAAUGUAAUUUUAGCGUAUUACGUUGCAUUUUCAUGUAUUUCAUUGUAUUCAUUAUUUUUUUCAUUGUAAUUCAAUGUAUCUCGCUGUAUUUCAUAUAUUUUAUUGUAUUCUCUAUCUUUUUUUCAUUAUAUUUCAAUGUAUGCUGUUGUAUUGUAUGUAUUUCAUCGUAUUUACUGUCUCUAUAUAUGCCAUAAAUACAUUCAUAAGUUCCUUUUAAUUAA